GAUGAACGCUGGCGGCGUGCCUAAUACAUGCAAGUCGAGCGAACAGAUGAGGAGCUUGCUCCUCUGACGUUAGCGGCGGACGGGUGAGUAACACGUGGAUAACCUACCUAUAAGACUGGGAUAACUUCGGGAAACCGGAGCUAAUACCGGAUAAUAUAUUGAACCGCAUGGUUCAAUAGUGAAAGACGGUUUUGCUGUCACUUAAAGAUGGAUCCGCGCCGCAUUAGCUAGUUGGUAAGGUAACGGCUUACCAAGGCAACGAUGCGUAGCCGACCUGAGAGGGUGAUCGGCCACACUGGAACUGAGACACGGUCCAGACUCCUACGGGAGGCAGCAGUAGGGAAUCUUCCGCAAUGGGCGAAAGCUUGACGGAGCAACGCCGCGUGAGUGAUGAAGGUCUUCGGAUCGUAAAACUCUGUUAUUAGGGAAGAACAAAUGUGUAAGUAACUAUGCACGUCUUGACGGUACCUAAUCAGAAAGCCACGGCUAACUACGUG
Molecule: ribosomal RNA, 497 nt
Filed under: uncultured bacterium
Lineage: Bacteria
Description: partial 16S ribosomal RNA
Rfam family: Bacterial small subunit ribosomal RNA
Source: RNAcentral